This 447-nucleotide ribosomal RNA is filed under the name soil bacterium 14V-03. RNAcentral's name for it is "bacterial SSU rRNA". It matches the Rfam family "Bacterial small subunit ribosomal RNA", at positions 24 to 484 of the family's 1533-position model. The record is from RNAcentral.
UCAGGAUGAACGCUGGCGGCGUGCUUAACACAUGCAAGUCGAACGAUGAUGCCCACUUGUGGGUGGAUUAGUGGCGAACGGGUGAGUAACACGUGAGUAACCUGCCCUUAACUUUGGGAUAAGCCUGGGAAACUGGGUNUAAUACCGGAUAUGACUCCUCAUCGCAUGGUGGGGGGNGGAAAGCUUUAUUGUGGUUUUGGAUGGACUCGCGGCCUAUCAGCUUGUUGGUGAGGUAAUGGCUCACCAAGGCGACGACGGGUAGCCGGCCUGAGAGGGUGACCGGCCACACUGGGACUGAGACACGGCCCAGACUCCUACGGGAGGCAGCAGUGGGGAAUAUUGCACAAUGGGCGAAAGCCUGAUGCAGCGACGCCGCGUGAGGGAUGACGGCCUUCGGGUUGUAAACCUCUUUCAGUAGGGAAGAAGCGAAAGUGACGGUACCUGCAG